Molecule: ribosomal RNA, 433 nt
Filed under: uncultured bacterium
Lineage: Bacteria
Description: partial 16S ribosomal RNA
Rfam family: Bacterial small subunit ribosomal RNA
Source: RNAcentral
CCCUCCCUCUUUCUUCAUGCCUAACACAUGCAAGUCGAACGAAACCUUCGGGUCUAGUGGCGCACGGGUGCGUAACGCGUGGGAACCUUCCCUUAGGUUCGGAAUAACUCCCCGACAGGGGUGCUAAUACCGGAUAAUGUCUUCGGACCAAAGAUUUAUCGCCUUUGGAUGGGCCCGCGUUGGAUUCGCUAGUUGGUAGGGUAAAAGCCUACCAAGGCGACGAUCCAUAGCUGGUCUGAGAGGAUGAUCAGCCACACUGGGACUGAGACACGGCCCAGACUCCUACGGGAGGCAGCAGUGGGGAAUAUUGGACAAUGGGCGAAAGCCUGAUCCAGCAAUGCCGCGUGAGUGAUGAAGGCCUUAGGGUUGUAAAGCUCUUUUACCCGGGAUGAUAAUGACAGUACCGGGAGAAUAAGCUCCGGCUAACUCCGUG